This is a long non-coding RNA of Sapajus apella (tufted capuchin), 670 nucleotides long. RefSeq lists it as uncharacterized. The transcript has 2 exons. NCBI's taxonomy places the organism in Eukaryota, Metazoa, Chordata, Mammalia, Primates, Cebidae. The record is from RefSeq and is a predicted model, not a curated record.
CCACAGGUGGUGACAAAUGGGUUACAGUAGCAAACACUGAGCCCUCAAGUAGUGAAUGCAACCUGGAGCCACAAAUAAUCAGACCAGCCGACUCCCGGCCUCGACUUCUCUAUAACAGUCUUUGUUCGGUUGGUCAGCUUUCUGUGCCUCGGAGCCUGGUACGGUGAAUUCUGCAUCCUCAGUUCUUGAGGCUGGACCAUGGCCAUAACAUCUGUGGCGGCUAUUCCUUACAGAUCAUUUGUUCUGGGGGAGGCCAGCUGUUAAGAUGCCCAUGUGGCAAGAAACUGAGGCUCCCAACCAGCAGCCAGCAAGGAUCUGAUGCCUGCCAACAGUCCAGUGAGUGAGCUUGAAUCCCACUGGAACUUUGAGAUUACUGCAGCCCCAGCCAACAGUUUUACUGUAACUUCCUAAGAGACCCUGAGCCAGAAGCACCCAGCUAAACCACUCCUAGAUUCCUGACACUCAGAGCCUGUUAGAUAGUAAGUGUUUGUUAUUUUAAACUUUUCAGUUUGGGGGUAAUUUGUUAUGCAGCAAUUGAUAACUAACAAUCAUCUAGCUGAUGGGCUUGGCUGGGGUAAUGGAACCUGCCUUAGAACUCUGCACCAUAGAACUGCCAAGUGGUGGCACCAUUACCACAUUGUAAAUUCAGCUACAUUUGGCAAAAUAUUAA